This 301-nucleotide ribosomal RNA is filed under the name uncultured bacterium. Its description in RNAcentral is "partial 16S ribosomal RNA". It matches the Rfam family "Bacterial small subunit ribosomal RNA", at positions 509 to 807 of the family's 1533-position model. The record is from RNAcentral.
CAGUCGCCGCGGGAAAACGAAGGGUGCAAGCGUUAAUCGGAAUUAUUGGGCGUAAAGGGCUCGCAGGCGGUUUCUUAAGUCUGAUGUGAAAGCCCCCGGCUCAACCGGGGAGGGUCAUUGGAAACUGGGAAACUUGAGUGCAGAAGAGGAGAGUGGAAUUCCACGUGUAGCGGUGAAAUGCGUAGAGAUGUGGAGGAACACCAGUGGCGAAGGCGACUCUCUGGUCUGUAACUGACGCUGAGGAGCGAAAGCGUGGGGAGCGAACAGGAUUAGAUACCCCCGUAGUCCCUGUCUCUUAUAC